This is a long non-coding RNA of Piliocolobus tephrosceles (Ugandan red Colobus), 1643 nucleotides long. The record is from Ensembl. NCBI's taxonomy places the organism in Eukaryota, Metazoa, Chordata, Mammalia, Primates, Cercopithecidae.
GUUUUUGCCGAUGAUUAUUUAAAUGCAGCUAUUAUAUGUAUUUACAACUAUUCUAUUUCACAAAACAUGUAAGUGCUAUACUUGUCAAUUAAAAACUGAUCUUGCAUAAAAUGUUAUAAUUUUAUUAACGAAAGUGUUUUAUGUGUGUACAUAUGAGUUGGUUAAUACAUACGUUCAUACAUAUUAAUAUAAUGCAUUAUAAAAAGUAAAUCAAUUUUUAUGCAAAACUUUUAAUUAUAAUUUAUAUCUUUUUUAGUGAUAUGAGAAAUGGAUACCUUAAUAAUGCUUUGGUAAAUCUUACGUUUAUUAUUAAAAAUUUAAAAUGCAGUUCGGAUUCUGAAUUAAAAAAUUGUUCUAAAACAGAUAUUAAAGAACUUACUCAUGAUAAUUUUAUAUACCGUACUAAUAGGUAUAAUAAUAAAAAACAUAGUAGAAAAAAUAAUAACAUAUUAUAUGAUCUAAGUAAUUUUAACAGCCUUUUCGGACAUAUACAAAGAAGGGGAAAACAUAUUCUUUCAGUUGACGUGAUUUACAGGUGUAUUGAUCUGAUAACACUGCAACAAAAUUUGGUACGCGUUGAGAUAAACUAUAACUUGAACAUACUGAAUUGUAAAAAGGUUGAUAUUUUAUUUUGUAUUAAUAUAUUAAUAUAUAAUAAAGUAUACAAUUUAGCUGAUAAUGUUAUUAACAUGUUCAGGUGGCAAUAUGUUUUUACAUAUUGUUUGGCUUGUUUUUUUUGUUUAUUAAUACAUAAAAGUUUAAGCUUUUUAUAUGACGUCAUACAAUACAUAAAAAUAAAAUUAAGUGAUUACGAUAUUAAUAUUUUUGUUUUACAUAUAAUUUAUUUAUAUUUAAAAUAUAAAAAUAAAUUAAAAUAUAUGUAUGAAAAUAUUGAUUAUGUAUAUAAAAUUAAAGAAAAGGAUAAAGCAAGGGAUAUAGACAAGGAUAUAAAAAAAGAAGAAACAAAUAUGCUGUUGAAUACAAAAGUAGUGAAUAUGAUUAAAAACGAAAAUACCUUAACACAGACAAAUACGAGUCAAAUAAAUGCGAGUCAAAUAAAUGCGAGUCAAAUAAAUGCGAAUAAAUGUAACAAACUGUUAGAACAAUCUAGCGAACUUAAUAAAAAAGAAAAUUCAAAUAAAAUAACAGACAUUAAUACAUAUUCAUAUGAUGAACAUGUAAAUAAUAUAUUAGCAUAUAUUAAAGACAAUGAUUUUUUAUUUUAUUGUUAUACAUUAAUAUAUAUUCAUGAUAAAAAAGAGUAUAAAAAAUUAUUCAAAAAUAUUAAAAAAUUACUAUUUAAGAAUUUAAAAAAAACUGAUAUUUAUAAAACAAUGUUAUGUGUACAUAAAUAUACAAAAAAAAAUAAAAAAAUUAAUUAUAAUUUUAUUUACGAUCAUUUAUUUUAUUUUAAAAAAUAUCAAAUCAAAAAGUUAUUAAGUAUAGUAGAAUGUACUCCAAUCGAUCAAGAUUUUAAUUUUUCAAAAAUGUUAUCUUUGGCAACUAUUAAUCCUGAUGACAUUAAAAAAAAAAUUAUAUCCCAAAUAAUGAAUAUUUAUAAUAUAUCUAUUACGAAAGUUGAUAAGGAGAAAAUAUGUUUGUAAAAACAUAAGAGGACCUUAUGACAUGACACAAAAAAAAAA